AUACGUAGGUGGCAAGCGUUGUCCGGAAUUAUUGGGCGUAAAGCGCGCGCAGGUGGUUCCUUAAGUCUGAUGUGAAAGCCCCCGGCUCAACCGGGGAGGGUCAUUGGAAACUGGGGAACUUGAGUGCAGAAGAGGAUAGUGGAAUUCCAAGUGUAGCGGUGAAAUGCGUAGAGAUUUGGAGGAACACCAGUGGCGAAGGCGACUGUCUGGUCUGUAACUGACACUGAGGCGCGAAAGCGUGGGGAGCAAACAGGAUUAGAUCCCCUGGUAGUCCACGCCGUAAACGAUGAGUGCUAAGUGUUGGGGGGUUUCCGCCCCUCAGUGCUGCAGCUAACGCAUUAAGCACUCCGCCUGGGAAGUACGGUCGCAAGACUGAAACUCAAAUGAAUUGACGGGG
RNAcentral lists this ribosomal RNA (397 nucleotides) under uncultured bacterium. RNAcentral describes it as "partial 16S ribosomal RNA". It matches the Rfam family "Bacterial small subunit ribosomal RNA", at positions 523 to 918 of the family's 1533-position model. The record is from RNAcentral.